ACAUACACACACAAACACACACACACCGAAACACAUCACACACACAUCAGACGCACAAACACACACACACACCACACAUAUCACACACACAUACAUCACACACACAAACACAUCACACAUAUCACACACACACAUCACACACACAUCACACACACACAUAAGACACACCCACACACACAUCACACACAUCAAACACACAUCCCACAUACACAUACACACACCUGACACACGCAUCACACACACACACACACAUCACACAAAGAGACACAC
This 270-nucleotide long non-coding RNA is filed under the name Lathyrus oleraceus (garden pea). Its description in RNAcentral is "Pisum sativum (pea) long non-coding RNA (PSAT_LNC002041)". Lineage: Eukaryota; Viridiplantae; Streptophyta; Magnoliopsida; Fabales; Fabaceae. The record is from RNAcentral.